Molecule: ribosomal RNA, 497 nt
Filed under: uncultured bacterium
Lineage: Bacteria
Description: partial 16S ribosomal RNA
Rfam family: Bacterial small subunit ribosomal RNA
Source: RNAcentral
GAUGAACGCUGGCGGCGUGCCUAAUACAUGCCAGUCGAGCGAACAGACGAGGAGCUUGCUCCUCUGACGUUAGCGGCGGACGGGUGAGUAACACGUGGAUAACCUACCUAUAAGACUAGGAUAACUUCGGGAAACCGGAGCUAAUACCGGAUAAUAUAUUGAACCGCAUGGUUCAAUAGUGAAAGACGGUUUUGCUGUCACUUAUAGAUGGAUCCGCGCCGCAUUAGCUAGUUGGUAAGGUAACGGCUUACCAAGGCAACGAUGCGUAGCCGACCUGAGAGGGUGAUCGGCCACACUGGAACUGAGACACGGUCCAGACUCCUACGGGAGGCAGCAGUAGGGAAUCUUCCGCAAUGGGCGAAAGCCUGACGGAGCAACGCCGCGUGAGUGAUGAAGGUCUUCGGAUCGUAAAACUCUGUUAUUAGGGAAGAACAAAUGUGUAAGUAACUAUGCACGUCUUGACGGUACCUAAUCAGAAAGCCGCGGCUAACUACGUG